GUCCACGCUGUAAACGAUGAGCACUAGGUGUCGUGGGUAUUGACCCCCGCGGUGCGACGCUAACGCAUUAAGUGCUCCGCCUGGGGACGUACGGCCGCAAGGUUAAAACUCAAAGGAAUUGACGGGGGCCCGGCACAAGCGGUGGAGCAUGUGGUUCAAUUCGACGCAACGCGAAGAACCUUACCUGGGCUAUACAACGGAGGACCGCUCCAGAGAUGAGGCUUUCCCUUCGGGGACUCCGUUCAGGUGCUGCAUGGCUGUCGU
RNAcentral lists this ribosomal RNA (264 nucleotides) under uncultured bacterium. RNAcentral describes it as "partial 16S ribosomal RNA". It matches the Rfam family "Bacterial small subunit ribosomal RNA", at positions 793 to 1055 of the family's 1533-position model. The record is from RNAcentral.